CCCGAACGGUGGAUCACUCGGCUCGCGGA
RNAcentral lists this ribosomal RNA (29 nucleotides) under Bemisia tabaci. Its description in RNAcentral is "partial 5.8S ribosomal RNA". The record is from RNAcentral. Lineage: Eukaryota; Metazoa; Arthropoda; Insecta; Hemiptera; Aleyrodidae. RNAcentral also lists the same sequence under 1 other name.